This 497-nucleotide ribosomal RNA is filed under the name uncultured bacterium. RNAcentral describes it as "partial 16S ribosomal RNA". It matches the Rfam family "Bacterial small subunit ribosomal RNA", at positions 28 to 507 of the family's 1533-position model. The record is from RNAcentral.
GAUGAACGCUGGCGGCGUGCCUAAUACAUGCAAGUCGAGCGAACGGACGAGAAGCUUGCUUCUCUGAUGUUAGCGGCGGACGGGUGAGUAACACGUGGGUAACCUACCUAUAAGACUGGGAUAACUUCGGGAAACCGGAGCUAAUACCGGAUAAUAUUUUGAACCGCAUGGUUCAAAAGUGAAAGACGGUCUUGCUGUCACUUAUAGAUGGUUCCGCGCUGCAUUAGCUAGUUGGUAAGGUAACGGCUUACCAAGGCAACGAUGCAUAGCCGACCUGAGAGGGUGAUCGGCCACACUGGAACUGAGACACGGUCCAGACUCCUACGGGAGGCAGCAGUAGGGAAUCUUCCGCAAUGGGCGAAAGCCUGACGGAGCAACGCCGCGUGAGUGAUGAAGGUCUUCGGAUCGUAAAACUCUGUUAUUAGGGAAGAACAUAUGUGUAAGUAACUGUGCACAUCUUGACGGUACCUAAUCAGAAAGCCACGGCUAACUACGUG